This 441-nucleotide ribosomal RNA is filed under the name uncultured bacterium. Its description in RNAcentral is "partial 16S ribosomal RNA". It matches the Rfam family "Bacterial small subunit ribosomal RNA", at positions 339 to 795 of the family's 1533-position model. The record is from RNAcentral.
CUACGGGGUGCAGCAGUGGGGAAUAUUGGGCAAUGGGCGCAAGCCUGACCCAGCAACGCCGCGUGAGGGAAGAAGGUUUUCGGAUUGUAAACCUCUGUCCUUGGGGACGAAGAAGUGACGGUACCCAAGGAGGAAGCUCCGGCUAACCACGUGCCAGCAGCCGCGGUAAUACGUAGGGAGCAAGCGUUGUCCGGAAUUACUGGGCGUAAAGGGUGCGUAGGCGGCAUAUUAAGUCAGGUGUGAAAUACUCGGGCUCAACCCGGUGGCUGCAUUUGAAACUGAUAUGCUUGAGUGUGAGAGAGGAAAGUGGAAUUCCUAGUGUAGCGGUGGAAUGCGUAGAUAUUAGGAGGAACACCAGUGGCGAAGGCGACUUUCUGGCUCAUAACUGACGCUGAGGCACGAAAGCGUGGGGAGCAAACAGGAUUAGAUACCCCUGUAGUC